CAACCCUUAAGCCUAGCUUAGUGUUGGGAACCUACUGCGAGAGCUACCCUAUAGCACUUAACUACCCUGUAGCUCCCGAAAAUCAACGGCGGAUUUGCAGCGUCCUCUGAGCGUAGUAAUCACCAUCUCGCUUCUGUCAGGCGCUGUAGCUCUAGCCGCUAAACCCCCAAACUUCAAU
Molecule: unclassified non-coding RNA, 178 nt
Filed under: uncultured Xylariales
Lineage: Eukaryota; Fungi; Ascomycota; Sordariomycetes; Xylariales
Description: sequence contains ITS2
Source: RNAcentral